Molecule: ribosomal RNA, 468 nt
Filed under: uncultured bacterium
Lineage: Bacteria
Description: partial 16S ribosomal RNA
Rfam family: Bacterial small subunit ribosomal RNA
Source: RNAcentral
GACGAACGCUGGCGGCGUGCCUAACACAUGCAAGUCGAACGGAAAGACCAGGCUCUUGCUGCUCUCUCGUGUGGCGAACGGGGGUGUAUCACACGUGUAAACCGUCCCUGUCUGUGUGGUAACACCAGGGAACAGCGGAUAUUAUCCCGUAGAAUAUCUUGCAGCGCGGUGGUCAUUGGAAAAAUUCGGUGGUUGUGGCUGGUCUCGCGGCUUACGAGCCUGUUGGUGGGGUAGUGGCUUUCAAAGGCUUUGACGGGUAGCCGGCCUGAGAGGGUGACCGGCCACAAUGGGACUGAGAUACGGCCCAGACUCCUACGGGAGGCAGCAGUGGGGAAUAUUGCACAAUGGGCGGAAGCCUGAUGCAGCAGCGCCGCGUGCGGGAUGCCGGCCUUCGGGUUGUGAACCGCUUUCGCCUGUGACGAAGCGUGAGUGACGGUAAUGGGUAAAGAAGCACCGGCUAACUACGUG